This 338-nucleotide ribosomal RNA is filed under the name uncultured bacterium. Its description in RNAcentral is "bacterial SSU rRNA". It matches the Rfam family "Bacterial small subunit ribosomal RNA", at positions 29 to 351 of the family's 1533-position model. The record is from RNAcentral.
AACGAACGCUGGCGGCGUGGAUAAGGCAUGCAAGUCGAACGCGAAAGUCACUUCGGUGACCGUAGAGUGGCAAACGGGUGAGUAACACGUGGGCAACUUUCUCUUAGGCGGGGGACAACACCGGGAAACUGGUGCUAAUACCGCAUAAUGUCCGGGAAUCGCAUGGUUUCCGGACCAAAGGUGGGGCUCCUUCGGGACCUGCCGCCUGAGAAUAGGCCCGCGGCUGAUUAGCUUGUUGGUGAGGUAAUGGCUCACCAAGGCUCCGAUCAGUAGCCGACCUGAGAGGGUGACCGGCCACACUGGGAUUGAGAUACGGCCCAGACUCCUACGGGUGGCUG